RNAcentral lists this long non-coding RNA (2672 nucleotides) under Ananas comosus (pineapple). RNAcentral's name for it is "long non-coding RNA (ACOM_LNC027076)". The record is from RNAcentral. Lineage: Eukaryota; Viridiplantae; Streptophyta; Magnoliopsida; Poales; Bromeliaceae.
UAAGAUGAAUAGAUUAAACUUAGCUCAAAAAUUCUCACUCUAAUGAUGUUAAUCAAAUUAAGAAUAGGGAGAGUGAGUUUGUCUAUUUGACAAAGGAAGCAAGCAUAGCUUCAAGUGGUGAAGCUUGGUGCUAGAAGAUUGCCCAUCUUGAGUCCUUUUGAAGAUAGAGAGAUCUAAAACACAAAACUUAAGAUAAAAUAUUAGUCCAAUAAUCGUAAUUAUUUGUUAUCAUCAAAAUCUAAUGAAAGAUUAAAGCCACUAGGCCAACACAAACCAUUUCAAAAUUGUCAAUUUUCAAUGGUUACUAUGGCGAGUUUGGAGUUUAACAUUGUAGAAGAAUCUAAGCGCUUAUUUGGUUCAUCCAUUUUGGAUAUGGAAUGGGAAUCGGUUUGAUCAAAUCAGAUUAAUUUUGUUUGGUUCGCAUGAAUCGGUUUGGGAUUCCUAUUCCGGACUGGAAUGGGAAUGACCCAUUAGCCUUCAACUUGAUUCCGGUCUUCUAGCCCGGAUUGAGAUUUCAUUCCGGAAGCCCACUAAGUUCUCGAAGCCCAUGUGACCAUCUCACCCUCCUUCUCUUCACCCCUUUCUCAUCAAAAAAAAAAAGAAAACCUAUCCUCUCUCAAAACCCUAUCCCUAACCCACAUCAAUAAGGGCGUGUUUGGUUCACAUCUUUGUUACCCUGGAAUCGGAAUCGGAAGGAACGAAUCCGUUUGUAGGUGUUUGGUACGCGGGAGUCCCAUUCCAAUUUUGAUUCCCGAAUAGAAUGGGAAUCCUCUAAUCACCUCUUUUUCCAAUCCAGCCUAGGAGGCCGGAUUGAAAGUUGAAUCCGGACGGAAUGAAUAUUUAUUCGGAUUAAAUUUAUUUUUUCAACUUUUUUAAUUAAAAUAUGAGUUUAAAUUUAGAAAUUAAAUUUUAAAUUUUAAAUUUUAAAUUUUAAAUUUUAAUUUGAACUUGAAUAAAAAAUUUAAAUUUAAUCAAGUAUUUCGAAUCUACCUUAUGAAUUUGAAUUUAAAUUAAAUUUUAAUUUAUAUAAAGUUUUAUUCAAAUUUUAUUUAAAACUUAAAUUAAAUUUAUGGAUUCAAAUUAAAAUUUAAAUUAUAAUUUUAAAUUUGAAUUUGAACAAAUCGAAAUUUAGUUUUAUAUUUUAAAUUAUCCACUCAACUUCAAAGUUUAAUUUUUUAAUAUAAAUAGAUUUAAAAUUUUGACAUUAUUUCAAAAUUUUGAUAUAAAUUUUUAAUAUUUAAUUUUUAAUUUGAUUUAAAUUAAUAUAUUAUAAAGAUAAAGUUAAUAUAUAAUCUGAUUAUGUUUUUUAUAUUUAUCUGAACCAAACACCGGGAAUGAUUUAUUCCGAUUCCGAUUCAGGUGAUGAACCAAACAAAAUUAGGUAAUGAGUCAUUCCAAUUCCGAUUCAAGCUUAUUUCGAUUCCGAUUCUGAUUCCGAUUUCGACUUCGAACCAAACACGCCCUAAAAGUUUUUAAAAAUAAAUUUGAUAUUUUUUUUGGAAAACUUAUUAGAGAAUAGUAUUAUAUUUUUCAUAAAUUUUAAAUAAUAUAAAUUUAUAUUUUAGAGUAAAAUUAGUAUUAUAGUAUUCUAUAAUUUUUUUAGUUUAUACGAACUAAACAAUGAAAUAUGAAUAACUCAUUCUAAUUCUCAAUCCACAAAUAAACCAAACGUCUUGAGGGAGUGGGCCAUUCCAAUUAUCAUUCCAAUUCAUUCCCAUUCCAUUAUCCAUUCCAAUUCCACCCUUGAAACAAACAAGCCCUAAAUUUCUUCAAAUUUUGAUAGAAAAUACUUUAAACUAUCUAGAUUAAGGUUAACAUUCUUGAUCUUGAAUUUAAAAGUCCUAUGCUCAAAUUUUAAAUAUUAUUCAAUUUCCACCGUCCAUUUUAACAUAAUUUAUUUAUUAAGUAAACGAUGUCGAAAAAAACUAAAAUCUUAUUCCUAAGAAUUUCAUAUACUCUAGAUCAUAUUUAACGGUGUGGAUCGUUAAUUUGAACACCCUAAAAUCAAAAAUAAGACUAUAGUACUGGAACUCCGGUACUAUAGAUAGUAUAGUAGCCUAAAGUUUAUAGAUAGUAUAGUAGUUUCCAAAUACUUUCAAUAGUCAAGUUUAACGGAGCCGAUCGUCGAUUUGGAAGCGGCAUCGUUGAAACAACUUGGUAGCACGGAGGCGUCUGUGCUACCGAUAGUAUGGCAGCUUAGCGCUCUCUCUCUCUCUCUCUCUCUCUAUAUAUAUAUAUAUAGUUGAGUUGGAAUACUAUUUAGAGUAUUUGAACUUUUUUACUAUUAAGUUUAUAACACUUGGAUUGACAAUUGUAGGAUUAGGAUGAUACUGAUCUCCUAAAGUUUAGCGAUGGUCCCCUAGUGUUUAGCAGGUGGCUUGUAAAAUAAUUUGAUCUAAAGAGUGAAAUUAAUUAAAGCUCUGAUUGGAUAUAUAGUAAAAAAUUCUAUUAUAGAGUUUAUAUUUUAUGGUUUUAGUCUGAACAAAAUCGAGAAAUUUGUAAUUAUAAAAAAUUUCACAACUUCAUUAUUAAACCAUUUGAAUACACGUCAUACAAUUCCACAUGAUAUCUAACAAUUAUAAGUUUAAAUUUAAAAUUUUCAAAUUUUGAAUUUUGAAUUUUGAAUUUUGAAUUUUGAAUUUUGAAUUUUGAAUUUUAAAAUUUAAAAUCUG